CCUACGGGAGGCAGCAGUGAGGAAUAUUGGUCAAUGGGCGCGAGCCUGAACCAGCCAAGUAGCGUGAAGGAUGACUGCCCUACGGGUUGUAAACUUCUUUUAUAAAGGAAUAAAGUGAGGCACGUGUGCCUUUUUGUAUGUACUUUAUGAAUAAGGAUCGGCUAACUCCGUGCCAGCAGCCGCGGUAAUACGGAGGAUUCGAGCGUUAUCCGGAUUUAUUGGGUUUAAAGGGAGCGUAGAUGGUUUGUUAAGUCAGUUGUGAAAGUUUGCGGCUCAACCGUAGAAUUCCAAUUGAUACUGGCAGGCUUGAGUACAGUUGAGGUAGGCGGAAUUCGUGGUGUAGCGGUGAAAUGCUUAGAGAUCACGAAGAACUCCGAUUGCGAAGGCAGCUUACUAAACUGCCACUGACAUUGAGGCUCGAAAGUGUGGGGAGCAAACAGGAUUAGAUACCCUUGUAGUC
Molecule: ribosomal RNA, 460 nt
Filed under: uncultured bacterium
Lineage: Bacteria
Description: partial 16S ribosomal RNA
Rfam family: Bacterial small subunit ribosomal RNA
Source: RNAcentral